GGCAUUUUUGGCUCAUCGUGUACAGUUAAAGAGAUGACUUUGAGGUAAGCAGUCAUCUGCCAAGAAGGGGCUCUGGAUAGGUCUGACUGAAGGAAGGGGCCCAGGUGCUAGAAUCUUGAGCAGGUGACCUCACUUCCUUAGUGACAAGCCCACAACUAACUUAGAACUCUGGUAACCAGGAACCUACAAUCUAGACCUUCCCACUUUCUAGCUCACUUAACUGCAGAUGGUCAAGUGUACAAGAUGUUCUGUUGCUAUACUCCUACUUUCUGGCACUCUGGGCUCAGGAGAGUCCAGAAUGAGAGACUUUCACGUCGCUGUCUAUGUCAGCUUAGCCUUUACUCUGAAGCUUCUGGUCAUGUGGCAGGAGACACCAACAGAGGGGACAGAAGAGAGGACCAUACCCUUCCUGGGCAGAAACCAGCUGCCAGGUGUUGGAAGCCUGACAUAUCUUUUGUGUUCAGACCCAAGGUCAUAACAGGCAAGAUGAGAAGGGCCCUGUAUUUGCAGAGCUGCACCCAGGAGAUCUUGGAAGAGAUGGUCUGUGCCGUCAACUACUACAACUCCCUAGACAAUUUUAUCAGGUGCACCAGGCAUACAAGGAUCAGGGCUGUGAGAAUGAUAUCCUGUGUAGAAUCCAGCUCCACUGUCACUGAAGAACUUCUCCAAGACCUUACAAAUCAUCACACUAAAGAAGGGGAAUGAGAUCAACCACCAGAAGAAGAAUAAGGUGAGGCUCUGUAUCACUUCCUAUAGGGAAGUUUAGGGCUGUGGUUAUCAGAGAUGUCCCUGAGAGGAACAGUCCUUGCCUCCAUCCCUUUAUUCUCACAUUUACGGGAAUAGUUUGAUAAGAAGUGCAGUUAGUGAGGCAGGUGCAGGGGGCCUUGUUCACCUGAAGGAACAGGAGCCUCCGCACUGGGGAGGCUUGGGGAGCAUUUGGGCUCAUGGCCACUCUGAACAGCAGCCCUGGCCUCCUCAGGCCCCUGGUUGAGGCUUUGGGCAUAGGUGGGGCCACGUUCACACUGACAAGAUCCUCCAGACUCCCUGGAACCCGCUGUCGAGGAUUCGGGAAGUCAUGUGGCCGCGUCAACACAGGGGCGAGUCUGGCCUCCUCAGGACCCAUGGUGGUGAGUAUGGGGGCUGACGUAGGGUCCUACAUGCCUACAGAAAUUGGCCUUUCAGGACCUGCUGUGGAGGCUUCUGGAGGCAUUGGUCGGGUCCACGCCAACAUCAGGAGGUACUCUUCAAAACCACAAGCUACAUCCUGUCCUGCCAGCUGGAGCCCUGAUCCAAGCUGGCCAGCAGAACUCCAGAACAGGAAGAACUGGCCACAGUCAACCUCAGGGCUGAGCCAGUGUCCAGUGGCAACGCAAUGUGCAUGGGACCCAUCUGCUCAACACCUCUUCCUCCCAUCUCUUUACUUAUUUGGAGGGCCAAUAUUUCAUUGUCUGAAAUAAUAAAUGGUACAUUUUAAUAUUAUUAUAUUAAAGCCCCUUUUAUUUUAGA
Molecule: long non-coding RNA, 1506 nt
Organism: Canis lupus familiaris (dog)
Lineage: Eukaryota; Metazoa; Chordata; Mammalia; Carnivora; Canidae
Exons: 6
Source: RefSeq, a predicted model, not a curated record